UCCUCCAAACUAGGUCCGACUCUGACCUCCAUUUUCUUCACCAUCAAAUCUCGCCGGGUUCACCAUCAAAUCUCGCCGGGAAAAGUGAAGCUUAAGAUUCAUAUCCACCGUCAUUAGCCUUCGAACUCAUCUCCACCACCGCCGUUCUUACUUAAGUUUAGGUGCUUCCAAGAAAGAGGAGCGCAAAUUUGAGAAAAACACGAGUUUUGUUUUCCAAAAUCAUGGAGGCUGUUGCAACCUCAAGUGCUAAGAAUAUAAUUCACAAGAAUCAGGGAGACCAUUGCAACCUUAAAUGCUAAGAAGACAACUCAGAAGAAGAGAAAGAGUGCAAUAAGACGAAAAAAGAAAGUGAAGGGAUAUGACCUAUCCCACCCAAAUGAGUUCUUGCCUGAGCUGAAAGAAGAACAACAACUUGCUCUUCCACCUAACGAAGUGAACUGCAAAUCCAGACAAAACCUAUUGAACUUGGGAUUUUGGUCAUGAUGGUUCUGCUAAUGGUUUAAAUCGGAGAAGUGGAGACCGUUUGGAUAGUUCCAUGCCACGAAACUUUCGACCUAUCCUACUUCCAAAGACCAUCAAGAAGCAAGAGGAGACUAUCUGCAGGGGGCAUAAAAAUUUCGAGUUGAUGCUCAACUUGCAGCUAGGAAUAAGGUAGUUUAUUACAGAAUUUGCCCUUUUCUAAGCAUCUUUCUCUACUUCUGUAUCAGUUCAUGCCCUUGUUUGCUUCUCAGUCAUCUGUUUUGAUAUAUAUUUGAACAUAAUGUAUUUAUAUGUAGGAAAAUAUGGGUUAGUUGAUGAUUAAGUUGUAUGUAAUGUAAUGUAUAAACAUUAAACAGCCUUGGGUAUGAUUGUGCAGACAUUCUGUAGGAAGACCAGGGCCACCAGUAAAGCGUGACUUGAAGUCUUCGGCUUUUGAUCCCAAACGAGCCUUAAAUGCGCAUAACUUGACAAAAGUAGAGAUAAUGAGUCUUAUCAUCCUAAUAUUAAGUAUAUUAAACAUUUAAAUUAUUUAGGAUACUUAUUUAGCUUCAUUAGUUGAGAGUUGGGAGCGAAAAUAACCAUUAUAGUCAAAAUAUGUCCUAUAACGAUCAAACGAGCCUUAAAUGUGCAUAACUUGACAAAAGUAGAUGAGAAUGAGUCUUAUCAUCCUAGUAUUAAGUAUAUUAAACAUUUAAAUUGUUUUGAAUUGUUUAGGAUACCUAUUUAGCUUCAUUAGUUGAGAGUUAACCCUUAUAGUCAAAAUAUGUCAUAUAACGAACAAACGAGCCUUAAAUGUGCAUAACUUGGAAAAAGUAGAUGACAAUGAGUCUUAGAAACCUAAUACUAAGUAUAUGAAAGAUGUAAAGGGUUAAGAAUACCUAUUUAGCUUCAUUAGUCGAGAGUUGGGAGCGAAAACAACCAUUAUAGUCAAAAUAUGUCCUCUAACGAUCAAGUGAGCCUUAAAUGUGCAUAAUUUGACAAAAGUAGAUGAGAAUGAGUCUUAGAAACCUAAUACUAAGUAUAUUAAACAUGUAAGGAUUUAGAAUACCUAUUUAGCUUCAUUAGUUGAGAGUUGGGAGCGAAAACAACCAUUAAAGUUAAAUAUGUCCUAUAACGAUCAAACGAGCCUUAAAUGUUCAUAACUAGACAAAAGUAGAUGAGAAUGAGUCUUAUCAUCAUAAUAUUAAGUAUAUUAAACAUUUACAUUGUUUAGAAAACCUAUUUAGCUUCAUUAGUUGAAAGUUGAGCGAAGAUAACCCUUAUAGUCAAAAUAUGUCAUAUAACGAACAAACGAGCCUUAAAUGUGCAUAACUUGACCAAAGUAGAUGGGAAUGAGUCUUAGAAACCUAAUACUAAAUAUAUUGAACAUGUAAAGGGUUUAGAAUACCUAUUUAGCUUCAUUAGUUCAGA
Molecule: long non-coding RNA, 1890 nt
Organism: Spinacia oleracea (spinach)
Lineage: Eukaryota; Viridiplantae; Streptophyta; Magnoliopsida; Caryophyllales; Amaranthaceae
Exons: 6
Source: RefSeq, a predicted model, not a curated record